CCUACGGGAGGCAGCAGUGGGGAAUAUUGCACAAUGGGCGCAAGCCUGAUGCAGCCAUGCCGCGUGUGUGAAGAAGGCCUUCGGGUUGUAAAGCACUUUCAGCGGGGAGGAAGGCGUUAAGGUUAAUAACCUUGGCGAUUGACGUUACCCGCAGAAGAAGCACCGGCUAACUCCGUGCCGGCAGCCGCGGUAAUACGGAGGGUGCAAGCGUUAAUCGGAAUUACUGGGCGUAAAGCGCACGCAGGCGGUCUGUCAAGUCGGAUGUGAAAUCCCCGGGCUCAACCUGGGAACUGCAUUCGAAGCUGGCAGGCUAGAGUCUUGUAGAGGGGGUAGAAUUCCAGGUGUAGCGGUGAAAUGCGUAGAGAUCUGGAGGAAUACCGGUGGCGAAGGCGGCCCCCUGGACAAAGACUGACGCUCAGGUGCGAAAGCGUGGGGAGCAAACAGGAUUAGAUACCCGAGUAGUC
This 464-nucleotide ribosomal RNA is filed under the name uncultured Klebsiella sp. RNAcentral describes it as "bacterial SSU rRNA". It matches the Rfam family "Bacterial small subunit ribosomal RNA", at positions 338 to 795 of the family's 1533-position model. The record is from RNAcentral. Lineage: Bacteria; Pseudomonadati; Pseudomonadota; Gammaproteobacteria; Enterobacterales; Enterobacteriaceae.